GAUAGCUCAGUUGGUUAGAGCAUGGCGCUGAUAAAGCCAAGGCUGCAGGUUCAAUCCCCACAACG
Molecule: non-coding RNA, 65 nt
Organism: Podarcis lilfordi (Lilford's wall lizard)
Lineage: Eukaryota; Metazoa; Chordata; Lepidosauria; Squamata; Lacertidae
Source: the annotation of a GenBank genome assembly